UACGUAGGGUGCAAGCGUUAAUCGGAAUUACUGGGCGUAAAGCGUGCGCAGGCGGUGUUGUAAGUCUGUCGUGAAAGCCCCGGGCUCAACCUGGGAAUUGCGAUGGAGACUGCAAGGCUUGAAUCUGGCAGAGGGGGGUAGAAUUCCACGUGUAGCAGUGAAAUGCGUAGAGAUGUGGAGGAACACCGAUGGCGAAGGCAGCCCCCUGGGUCAAGAUUGACGCUCAUGCACGAAAGCGUGGGGAGCAAACAGG
This 253-nucleotide ribosomal RNA is filed under the name uncultured bacterium. RNAcentral describes it as "partial 16S ribosomal RNA". It matches the Rfam family "Bacterial small subunit ribosomal RNA", at positions 524 to 776 of the family's 1533-position model. The record is from RNAcentral.